CCCUUCCCUCGCUGAGAGCCUGAUAGCCGCUCCCUGUAGCCGGUUUCCCUGUAGCCGCCGCCUCCUCUCGGUAUCGUCGCCUCUUCAACGACCGACCAGCGGCUCUUCGCGUCCUUCUCCCCCGGACGGCAACCUCCGCGGCUCCGGUCACCGACUCACAGUCACCGGUUUUGAGAGUUAGAAGAUGCAAGGAUGUUCUUCUACAGUUUUCUAUUAUGGAAGUGGCUUCAAGAAUUAUGAUUACAUUUACUUUUGAAUGCACAAAGAUGGAUGUUUGUUAUAAUGUUAAUGGGACAAUGUAAUUUGUAUUUUGUCUAAAUAUGUAAUUGUUUAAGUUUGUAGUUUUUAUUGUUGGGUUGUAAUUUUCAGCUGGACAAUAAUGUUUCAUACAUUUUAUUUUCUUUCUAUUGGCUUGAAGAUGCAAAUUUUUUCUUUUUUAAUGUUUGUAGAUAUAUCCAAAUUCCAAAGUUUGAAACCACCACCAACACUAUCUAUUUGAAAUAGGCUAGUUAUAUGCUUAACAUUAACCAAUUAAUAAUUGGAGAAAUAAAAUAAAGGUAGAAAAAUACAUCCAGUUUUAGAGAGCCCAUUAAGCUGUUGGGCCAUUUUGGCCCAUUU
Phoenix dactylifera (date palm) is the source of this 618-nucleotide non-coding RNA. The record is from RefSeq and is a predicted model, not a curated record. NCBI's taxonomy places the organism in Eukaryota, Viridiplantae, Streptophyta, Magnoliopsida, Arecales, Arecaceae.